CAUGUAGGCGGCCGCGUCAGUCAGGUGUGAAAUCCCUCGGCUCAACCGAGGAACUGCAUCUGAUACUGCGUAGCUAGAGUGCGGGAGGGGAGAACGGAAUUCCUGGUGGAGCGGUGAAAUGCGUAGAUAUCAGGAGGAACGCCGGAGGCGAAAGCGGUUCUCUGGCCCGCUACUGACGCUGAGUGUGCGAAAGCGUAGGGGGGCAAACA
RNAcentral lists this ribosomal RNA (209 nucleotides) under uncultured bacterium. RNAcentral's name for it is "partial 16S ribosomal RNA". It matches the Rfam family "Bacterial small subunit ribosomal RNA", at positions 568 to 774 of the family's 1533-position model. The record is from RNAcentral.